GACGAACGCUGGCGGCGCGCUUAACACAUGCAAGUCGAACGGAAAGGCCUGCUUUCCCUUGUGGAUUGCGGGUACUCGAGUGGCGAACGGGUGAGUAACACGUGAGUGAUCUGCCCCCAACUUGGGUAUAAGCCUGGGAAACUGGGUCUAAUUCCCGAUAGGACUGCAGGGUGGUGCCUGUGGUGGAAAACGAUUUUCUAGUGGUUGGGGAUGAGCUCGCGGCCUAUCAGCUUGUUGGUGGGGUAAUGGCCUACCAAGGCGGCGACGGGUAGCCGGCCUGAGAGGGUGGACGGACACAUUGGGACUGAGAUACGGCCCAGACUCCUACGGGAGGCAGCAGUGGGGAAUAUUGCACAAUGGGCGGAAGCCUGAUGCAGCGACGCAGCGUGGGGGAUGACGGCCUUCGGGUUGUAAACUCCUUUCGACCGCGAGGAAGCCACCUGGUUGGAAGGGUGGUGACGGUAGUGGUAGAAGAAGCACCGGCUAACUACGUG
Molecule: ribosomal RNA, 494 nt
Filed under: uncultured bacterium
Lineage: Bacteria
Description: partial 16S ribosomal RNA
Rfam family: Bacterial small subunit ribosomal RNA
Source: RNAcentral